GUAUAUUUUCUGCAACUCCUUUUUUUUUUCUUUCUUUUGAUCUCAAAAAAUUUGUAUUUUUUGGGAAGUUGUUGUAUGUUUGAAAGUAGUCAUAUAUGUACAACUUUGAACAGGGAGGGUUAAUUGGCCAAUCAAAGAAGACCGCACUGUUUGAGGAAACGUUAUUGUGGCUUGGAAAGUUAAAUUUGCUUUAUAUGUUUAAUGACUUAUUAAUUUCGAUUAACGUUUUUGUUUGUUGCUCUCAGUUGAAAUGACUGAACCAUCCAGUUUAUUUGACUGACUUUGUUUUAUUUAUAUUUCCCUCCAAAUACUUCUGUCUGCCUGAAAACUCAGAAGGGGAUUCAAGAAUAACCAUUCAAGGAGCUAAAUAGUUGCUUUAAA
Molecule: unclassified non-coding RNA, 381 nt
Filed under: Hevea brasiliensis (rubber tree)
Lineage: Eukaryota; Viridiplantae; Streptophyta; Magnoliopsida; Malpighiales; Euphorbiaceae
Source: RNAcentral